Zingiber officinale is the source of this 108-nucleotide small nucleolar RNA. The record is from RefSeq and is a predicted model, not a curated record. NCBI's taxonomy places the organism in Eukaryota, Viridiplantae, Streptophyta, Magnoliopsida, Zingiberales, Zingiberaceae.
AACCCAUAAUGAGGGCAUUGCUUCAAAAAACUUUUGAAUCUCUCCCAUACUUUAAAUAGUGAUUCUUCCUCUAUUUGAGAAAAGUUCAUCAUUUGGUUUCUCAUGAAU